RNAcentral lists this ribosomal RNA (1597 nucleotides) under uncultured bacterium. RNAcentral describes it as "bacterial SSU rRNA". It matches the Rfam family "Bacterial small subunit ribosomal RNA". The record is from RNAcentral.
AGUUUGAUCAUGGCUCAGGAUGAACGCUGGCGGCGUGCCUUAAGCAUGCAAGUCGAACGGAGAUUGUGCUUAGCACUAAGAUAAUUAGUGUAAAGUUGCUUCUUCUUCCCUUGUUAUGCCAAAGCACUUUAUAAAGUCAGUUAUUUACUAUGAAUCUUUUGGCGUAACGAGUGGUAAGUUGAGCAACGAUUAAUUAUUUUUGUGCUAAGCACGAAAUCAGUGGCGGACGGGUGAGUAUAAGCAAGGAACGUACCCUUUACUGUGGCAUAGCUCGUCGAAAGACGGGGUAAUACCGCAUAAUCCCUUACGGGUAAAGCGCUUAACCGCGCGGUAUUGGAGCGGCCUUGUGUCUAUCAGCUAGUUGGUGGGGUAAAGGCCUACCAAGGCGACGACGGAUAGGGGGCGUGAGAGCGCGACCCCCCACAAUGGCACUGAGAUACGGGCCAUACAUCUACGGAUGGCAGCAACUGGGAAUCGUUGGCAAUGGACGAAAGUCUGACCACGCGACGCCGCGUGAGGGAUGAAGGCCUUCGGGUCGUAAACCUCUUUUGCCUCGGCAUGAAGCUGAGGAGAAUAAGCAUCUACAAACUACGUGCCAGCAGUCGCGGUAAUACGUAGGAUGCAAGCGUUAUCCGGAUUCACUGGGCGUAAAGAGUCGUGUAGGUGGUUUAUCGCAUCGUACUUGAAAGCCCGAGGCUUAACCUGGGCGUUGGGUACGAGAUGGAUAGACUUGAGGGUGGCAGAGGAAAGGGGAACUCAUGGUGAAGCAGUGAAAUGCGUUGAUAUCAUGAGGAACACCAAAGGCGAAGGCACCUUUCUGGGCCUCUCCUGACACUGAGACACGAAAGCUAGGGGAGCGAAGCAGAUUAGAGACCUGCGUAGUCCUAGCCCUAAACGCAUGUCUGCUAGAUGGUUUUCGCAAGAGAACUGUCGUAAGCUAACGCGUUAAGCAGACCGCCUGGGGAGUACGAUCGCAAGAUUAAAACUCAAAGGAAUUGACGGGGACCCGCACAACCGGUGGAGCGUGUGGUUCAAUUCGAUACAAAGCGAAAUACCUCACCAAGUUUUGACAUGCUACCGUUUUAACCACCUGGAAACAGGAGGCUAUCCGCAAGGAUGGUAGCACAGCAGCUGCAUGGCUGUCGUCAGCUCGUGCCGUGGGGUGUUCCCUUAAGUGGGAGAACGAGCGCAACCCGUGUCCAAUGUUAUAUGUUUCAUUGGAGACCGCCCACUCUCUGAGUACCCGAAUUAUCGGGUAUUGAGAGAGUGGGAGGAAGGAACGGACGACGUCAAGUCAGCACGGCGCUUAUAACUUGGGUAACACACACCCUACAAUGGCGAAUAACAAUGGGAUGCAAGGCGGUAACGUCAAGCAAAUCCCCACUAAAUUUCGCCUCAGUUCAGAUUGAGGGCUGCAACCCGCCCUCAUGAAGUCGGAAUCGGUAGUAAUCGCAGAUCAGCAGGCUGCGGUGAAUACGUUCUCGGGUCUUGUACACACCGCCCGUCAAGCCAACAAAGUUGGAGGCGGCCGAAGAUCCACAUUUGUGGAGCUAAGCCGAAUUCAGCGAUGGGGACUAAGUCGUAACAAGGUAACCGU